RNAcentral lists this non-coding RNA (29 nucleotides) under Homo sapiens (human). Lineage: Eukaryota; Metazoa; Chordata; Mammalia; Primates; Hominidae. The record is from RNAcentral.
UCGGGUUCAUGGAAUGGCCUAACUGGAAC